CCUACGGGAGGCAGCAGUGGGGAAUUUUGGACAAUGGGCGCAAGCCUGAUCCAGCCAUUCCGCGUGCAGGAUGAAGGCCCUCGGGUUGUAAACUGCUUUUGUACGGAACGAAAAGGCUCUGGUUAAUACCUGGGGCUCAUGACGGUACUGUAAGAAUAAGCACCGGCUAACUACGUGCCAGCAGCCGCGGUAAUACGUAGGGUGCAAGCGUUAAUCGGAAUUACUGGGCGUAAAGCGUGCGCAGGCGGUUAUGUAAGACAGAGGUGAAAUCCCCGGGCUCAACCUGGGAACUGCCUUUGUGACUGCAUAGCUGGAGUACGGCAGAGGGGGAUGGAAUUCCGCGUGUAGCAGUGAAAUGCGUAGAUAUGCGGAGGAACACCGAUGGCGAAGGCAAUCCCCUGGGCCUGUACUGACGCUCAUGCACGAAAGCGUGGGUAGCAAACAGGAUUAGAUACCCUGGUAGUCCACGCCCUAAACGAUGUCAACUAGGUGUUGGGUGGGUAAAACCAUUUAGUACCGUAGCUAACGCGUGAAGUUGACCGCCUGGGGAGUACGGCCGCAAGGUUAAAACUCAAAGGAAUUGACGG
Molecule: ribosomal RNA, 587 nt
Filed under: uncultured beta proteobacterium
Lineage: Bacteria; Pseudomonadati; Pseudomonadota; Betaproteobacteria
Description: bacterial SSU rRNA
Rfam family: Bacterial small subunit ribosomal RNA
Source: RNAcentral